GGGGAAUUUUGGACAAUGGGCGCAAGCCUGAUCCAGCCAUACCGCGUGUGUGAAGAAGGCCUGCGGGUUGUAAAGCACUUUUAGUGGGGAAGAUAAUGACGUUACCCACAGAAAAAGCACCGGCUAACUCCGUGCCAGCAGCCGCGGUAAUACGGAGGGUGCAAGCGUUAAUCGGAAUUACUGGGCGUAAAGCGUGCGUAGGCGGCUCUUUAAGUCGGAUGUGAAAUCCCCGGGCUCAACCUGGGAACUGCAUCCGAUACUGGGGAGCUAGAAUGUGGGAGAGGGAAGUGGAAUUUCCGGUGUAGCGGUGAAAUGCAUAGAGAUCGGAAGGAACAUCAGUGGCGAAGGCGACUUCCUGGACCAACAGUGACGCUGAGGCACGAAAGCGUGGGUAGCAAAC
RNAcentral lists this ribosomal RNA (400 nucleotides) under uncultured bacterium. RNAcentral's name for it is "bacterial SSU rRNA". It matches the Rfam family "Bacterial small subunit ribosomal RNA", at positions 356 to 773 of the family's 1533-position model. The record is from RNAcentral.